CAGAUCUUGUUCUGCAGAAUUUAUAGAAAUGUUUCACCGGGAAUGAUCAGUGGGAGACUAUUAAGAUGUUUCUUAGCUUUACCAGGACAAGUCUUCUACCUGAUUUUUUUAAAAAGUGGUCACAGAUAUUUCUGCAAAUCUCACAAUUUUAACAUGAUUUCCUACAGGGGAUCUCAUUUCCUUUAUUGCUUGUGUAGAACCAUGGAGACAUGAACAAUGCAGCAUGAGAAUUUCUUUCUCUUUCUUAACACUUUUUGUCUUAUCUAAAGUCAGUGUGUGUACUUCCAUUUUCUAUGGAAGUGCAUAACCCCUUUUCUAGGUCCUGCCAGGCUCCUGGCUUCAGUGACAAGAAUCUCCUCUGCAGCAAUCUCAUGUGAUAUCCCUCCUUUUCCUCGCUGGAUCCUGUUAGCAGCCUGAGCUAUGGAGUCAGGGUUCUGGUGUCUACAUUUAGGUUUGAUGCGCUGAUAGAAAGCAAAGAGUAAGAUAAAAUUACAGACCUCUAACACUUUUCCUUAAAUUAUUAGUAUUUAUAUUAUCUGUCAUGUUUUCAAGCCAGUUUUCACCUCUCCUUGGGCAAUUUCCAGGAUGACCCAGUCCAGCUCGGGCAGGAAGAGGGGAAGAGCAAUCAAUGGGACCAAUGCGUGGUGCAAAGAGGGGACCUCCAGUCCUCAACCCUCCAGGGCUUGCGCAAAUACUGGCAGCUGCUUACGAAGGAGUGGUGAAAGAAUGCAGUCCGGCUACCUCACACUGCCAGCACCCACAAGAGAGAAAAGGACCCUCCUGAACUCAUGGCACCUCUUCUUUGUAAAAGUGAAGGGCAAUUAGUUUUACCUGCUCUUCCCAACAUCCACUGGCUGUGCCUGUGGGAAACCUGCCAGCCACCAGCCUCCUGCCUAGCAGUGAACUUGGCACCCCAAAUAUCCCAAGCCAAAGCUGCCACCCCAUUUGCUGCCUCACACCCCCCUGCCCCAUCCCAGCUCCUCCAGCAGUGCUGCCUCUCCCUAGGAUGGAAGGGACAGAGGUGGGAAGAGGAGAAGAGCUAGAAAUGCCAUCCUAUGGGCCAGCUUCAGGCAGGAGCUGGGUUUUGAUAUUUAAUGGGUAUGAACUUUGUUUAAGACUAACAAAUGUGGCACCCUAAAUCAAUGGAUGCUGUUUAAUCCACAUGUAAGUUACCCUCCUGCCAGCACUCAGUUGUAAGAACCUCUCUGCCCUUCCAUAUCCAUGAGAUAUUGUGUUCUUGCCUUUCUAGCUUUAUCACUUUGACAGAUAUUAAAGUGAUCAGUGCUCUGGCAAAACUCACAAGGAAACAAGACUUUCCUUGUCUUGUUUCGCAAGGCACAAAACAUUGGCCAUAUUAAAGAUGAGAAAGAAAUAGUGAACAACAGCUCAUAUGAUAAUCACCAUUUAUUCUGUGUGUUGUGUGAGGCCUUACUGGAAACGCAAUGUACACAGGUAAUUAAAACUAUAUUGUUGUAUAUGCCUAAAUAGGCUGAAAUAUGACUGUGGACAAUUCUUUCAAAAUGGUGUGGUAGAAAGGUUCUUGGCCUCAUGAUGAAGUCAAUAACGUAUGGCCAAUCAAUCCCAUGUGAUCCUGAGAAUGUAGAGAAAUACCCUUAUGUAACAAAAUACAAUCUGGUUAAACACACAACCAAAAUAUGUAAAAAUAAUAAUUAAUAUAUUACAAUGCAGUUAAUAUAUUUGCAAGUAUUGUAAUGAUAAAAGGUAGUUGAAUAUCUUUCAUGCUUUGAAGGGCUCUCCUUUCUUACAGAUUAAAAUAAAUCAGCAGUGCUCUCUCUAUUCCUUGCAACAGUUUCAAUAAUGUGCAUGGUUUAUAUAAAAAUUCUUACUAACAUUUUGCCAGCUUGAUUUUUAAUU
Molecule: long non-coding RNA, 1875 nt
Organism: Oxyura jamaicensis (ruddy duck)
Lineage: Eukaryota; Metazoa; Chordata; Aves; Anseriformes; Anatidae
Exons: 3
Source: RefSeq, a predicted model, not a curated record